RNAcentral lists this ribosomal RNA (468 nucleotides) under uncultured bacterium. Its description in RNAcentral is "partial 16S ribosomal RNA". It matches the Rfam family "Bacterial small subunit ribosomal RNA", at positions 28 to 507 of the family's 1533-position model. The record is from RNAcentral.
GACGAACGCUGGCGGCGUGCUUAACACAUGCAAGUCGAACGGAAAGGCCCUGCUUUUGUGGGGUGCUCGAGUGGCGAACGGGUGAGUAACACGUGAGUAACCUGCCCUUGACUUUGGGAUAACUUCAGGAAACUGGGGCUAAUACCGGAUAGGAGCUCCUGCUGCAUGGUGGGGGUUGGAAAGUUUCGGCGGUUGGGGAUGGACUCGCGGCUUAUCAGCUUGUUGGUGGGGUAGUGGCUUACCAAGGCUUUGACGGGUAGCCGGCCUGAGAGGGUGACCGGCCACAUUGGGACUGAGAUGCGGCCCAGACUCCUACGGGAGGCAGCAGUGGGGAAUAAUGCACAAUGGGCGGAAGCCUGAUGCAGCAACGCCGCGUGCGGGAUGACGGCCUUCGGGUUGUAAACCGCUUUCGCCUGUGACGAAGCGUGAGUGACGGUAAUGGGUAAAGAAGCACCGGCUAACUACGUG